RNAcentral lists this unclassified non-coding RNA (208 nucleotides) under rhizosphere metagenome. Its description in RNAcentral is "partial ribosomal RNA internal transcribed spacer region". The record is from RNAcentral.
GUAGGUGAACCUGCGGAGGGAUCAUUACCGAGUGAGGGCGUUAACGCCCGACCUCCAACCCUUUGUGAACCAACCUCUGUUGCCUCGGGGGCGACCCGGCCCUUCGGGUGUCGGGGCCCUCGGUGGACCACACUUCAACUCUGCGUCUUUGCGACUGAGUCUUAUGAUAAAUCAAUCAAAACUUUUAACAACGGAUCUCUUGGUUCUG